Molecule: ribosomal RNA, 802 nt
Filed under: uncultured Rubrobacter sp.
Lineage: Bacteria; Bacillati; Actinomycetota; Rubrobacteria; Rubrobacterales; Rubrobacteraceae
Description: bacterial SSU rRNA
Rfam family: Bacterial small subunit ribosomal RNA
Source: RNAcentral
AGAGUUUGAUCCUGGCUCAGGACGAACGCUGACGGUGUGCUUUAGACAUGCAAGUCGAACGAGAAAGCCCUUCGGGGUGAGUACAGUGGCGGACGGGUGAGUAACACGUGGGUAACCUGCCCCUCGCAGGGGGAUAACCGGGGGAAACCCCGGCUAAUACCCCGUACGCUUGCUGGGUCGCAUGGCCCGGCAAGGAAACGGUAGCUUCGGCCAUCCGGCGAGGGAUGGGCCCGCGGUGCAUUAGCUAGUUGGUGGGGUAACGGCCUACCAAGGCGACGAUGCAUAGCUGGUCUGAGAGGACGAUCAGCCACACUGGGACUGAGACACGGCCCAGACUCCUACGGGAGGCAGCAGUCGGGAAUCUUGCGCAAUGGGCGAAAGCCUGACGCAGCAACACCGUGUGAGCGACGAAGGCCUUCGGGUCGUAAAGCUCUGUUGUUGGGGACGAAGGGUUAGGGGUUAAUAGCCCCGAGCCUGACGGUACCCUUCGAGGAAGCCCCGGCUAACUACGUGCCAGCAGCCGCGGUAAUACGUAGGGGGCGAGCGUUGUCCGGAAUUAUUGGGCGUAAAGAGCGUGUAGGCGGCCCGGUAAGUCCGCCGUGAAAGCUUGGGGCUCAACCCCAAGUUUGCGGUGGAUACUGUCGGGCUAGAGGGUGGUAGAGGCGAGUGGAAUUCCCGGUGUAGCGGUGAAAUGCGCAGAUAUCGGGAGGAACACCAGUAGCGAAGGCGGCUCGCUGGGCCAUACCUGACGCUGAGACGCGAAAGCGUGGGGAGCGAACAGGAUUAGAUACCCCGGUAGUCC